Molecule: ribosomal RNA, 253 nt
Filed under: uncultured bacterium
Lineage: Bacteria
Description: partial 16S ribosomal RNA
Rfam family: Bacterial small subunit ribosomal RNA
Source: RNAcentral
UACGGAGGGGGCUAGCGUUAUGCGGAAUUACUGGGCGUAAAGCGCACGUAGGCGGAUCUGCAAGUCAGAGGUGAAAUCCCAGGGCUCAACCUUGGAACUGCCUUUGAAACUGCGGGUCUUGAGUUCGAGAGAGGUGAGUGGAAUUCCGAGUGUAGAGGUGAAAUUCGUAGAUAUUCGGAAGAACACCAGUGGCGAAGGCGGCUCACUGGCUCGAUACUGACUCUGAGGUGCUAAAGCGUGGGGAGCAAACAGG